GCCUACGGGGGGCAGCAGUAGGGAAUCUUCCACAAUGGGCGAAAGCCUGAUGGAGCAACGCCGCGUGGGUGAAGAAGGUCUUCGGAUCGUAAAACCCUGUUGUUAGAGAAGAAAGUGCGUGAGAGUAACUGUUCACGUUUCGACGGUAUCUAACCAGAAAGCCACGGCUAACUACGUGCCAGCAGCCGCGGUAAUACGUAGGCGGCAAGCGUUAUCCGGAUUUAUUGGGCGUAAAGGGAACGCAGGCGGUCUUUUAAGUCUGAUGUGAAAGCCUUGGGCUUAACCGGAGUAGUGCAUUGGAAACU
RNAcentral lists this ribosomal RNA (305 nucleotides) under uncultured bacterium. Its description in RNAcentral is "bacterial SSU rRNA". It matches the Rfam family "Bacterial small subunit ribosomal RNA", at positions 337 to 634 of the family's 1533-position model. The record is from RNAcentral.